UUUUAUGAGAUUUUCAUAGCCACCAGAAGUCCAAAGCAAAGUACUUCUAAUGUUGAUGGUAUGUUGAUGGUUUUUGGCUGUGUCUGCAUAAUGCCAGUUGUGUAGAGCUUAUGGUGUCUAAGUGUGUGAUACUGUAGCAUACAUGCUAUUGAAUGUUAUCCACACCUCUGUACGUAAAAUGGUACAGGAGAAUAAAUAUAUGUGUACAUAAUGUGUUAUGCAUAGCUUUGUGUGAGUGCAAUACUCAUACAGGCCUGUCAAAUCCAUUAUCAGGAUAGCCUCCAUGUCUACAAAUUGUCAUUCCAAAUAGAGUACCUCAUUAAUCUAAUGAUUCGGGGGAUUUUUUUUUACAUGAAAAUGGUUAUUAAUUUUGGGGGGGUGACUUUCAGUAUUUACAGUACCUAACUUUUUGGAGCUUGGAGAGAAGCAUUAAAUUUAUCCAGUAAGCUAAGACUUCAGCUUGCGUAAAACAUCAGGAGAAAAAGGAAAGCCCUCCAGGAAUGAAACUCGACAUCCCCUUUGUUAGGAGCUGUCUGAGGUUUGAGAAAACAAUUAACGGUUGCCGAGAGUGAGACACAUAAGACAGAGGUGCUAUUUUGCUGUCUUUUCUUGAAGUUUUCUUUUUCCCACAGACCCUAUCAGCUGCCUUUUCUUUGAGUUAUGCCAUCACUGCCCAACGCCCACUGCUGGAAUUUCAGACACAACAGUCAGCUUGGUGUCCCCAGCCCACUUCCUGAGGAAUUUGGGGAGAGUGAAAAUAAAACAGGCCAGUGGAUGAUAACUUUCAAAAGGAGCAUCUUCUGAAAAACAACCACAAGAAAUAUACCCCCAAAAUAUCACAAGAUCACAAGAUAACAAAAGGUUCUCUUUCUAUAAAGCCUAAAUGACUAUUACAUUGCAGCUGUUGAUGCUGAGUAAUAAUAAAAAACUUCCAGUUUCCGAUGAGAGCAAAGAUUCAUAUCUGUCAUGUUUUCAAAUAACUGUUGUCCUCCCUUUCCUUUUAAUAAAGAGUCAAAC
RNAcentral lists this long non-coding RNA (1017 nucleotides) under Lepisosteus oculatus (spotted gar). RNAcentral's name for it is "lncRNA (ENSLOCG00000021789.1)". Lineage: Eukaryota; Metazoa; Chordata; Actinopteri; Semionotiformes; Lepisosteidae. The record is from RNAcentral.